GCAGCUUCCACCGGCACCUUCCUUCACUUGGCAGCCCUUUAGUGUCCACAUGUGGUGUGCUGGGCGCUGCGCCGGGAACAGACCUGGCCCUGUCCUCUUGGAGAUCCAUGUGUGGUGGGAAACAGAAAAUCAACAGAAACCCUGGCCGUGGUUGUAGGUGGGGAAUCCGGGACCCUGUGGCUUGGAGCAGUGGGCACCAGACGUGUAGGGUCUUGCUGGAGGCUGGGUUGUGAGGAGGAGUCUGACUACUGCCCUCUGCACCAAGGCUCUGGAAUUUGGCAGUGGCCACCAGCACUUGUCACACCUCGUCUACAGCUGCUUCGGGUCUCUGCUGGGGUCUGGACAUUCCCCUAAAUUCGUGUGUUGAAACUUCAUCACCAAUGAGAUGCUAUUAAGAGGUGAGGUGUUUAGGAGGCCCUGCCCUCAAAGGUGGGCUUAACCCUUGAGAAGGGCUGGGAAGCCUGGCUGCCCCUUCUGCCCUUAGGUCCCUCCUGCCCUGUGAGAUGCCCGUUCGCCCCCUCAGGAGGAUGAAGUGGCCUGGCACUGUCUUGCAUGCAGAGAGGAGCCCUCAUCAGACACCCAUCCUACUGGCGCCUUGAUCUUGCCCUCCAGCCUCCAGAACAGAGAGAAGCACAUUUCUGUUGCUUCUGAAGGGCCUAGUCUUCAGGAUUUUGUUACAGCAGCGGAAAGGACUAACACAAGCCUUGAAUAAACAUGACAAAGAUUGGCCUGGAAAACAGAAAGUGAUUCCUCCCCAGCCCUCUACAGAAAAAACGUGUCCAGCCCUGCCUCUUUGGGACACAGCUGUUGGGGUGAGCAGCUUCAGAUGUGGGGAGAAGGACGGCAGGAGCGAAGGCAGUGGAGGAAGGAAGGUAGCCAGCCCUGGCAGGGCGCUGGGGAGCCACUGAUGGUGGGAAGGCAAGAGAGGUGUCCUGUGACUUGGGGCUUCUCUCCCAUGUGCAGAGGAGCCCCUGGCCCCCACCUGUGCCCCUGGUUCUUGAGUCGCCAACCUGGGCUAUGUGGUCCCUUGGGUGAUCCCAGGCGGAGGGUUCUGGUUGGGCUGGGGUCCCCACCGGUGGCACCCUGACUUGUGCGCUGCCUUGCCCUACCCUUCGUGGGGCCCUGAAGCCUAUGAGAGGUGGGGGACCCAGUGCCCAGAGAAGAGAUGUUCAGGGUACCUCAGGGGGCGGGUGGCCCUCGUCCAUCCUGUGAGCAUCCCUGGUGUCCCACGAACACUGAAGACUUGGAGACCAGAUGGCCACAGAUGCAGGCAG
This is a long non-coding RNA of Cercocebus atys (sooty mangabey), 1274 nucleotides long. RefSeq lists it as uncharacterized. NCBI's taxonomy places the organism in Eukaryota, Metazoa, Chordata, Mammalia, Primates, Cercopithecidae. The transcript has 3 exons. The record is from RefSeq and is a predicted model, not a curated record.